ACCCUCUCUUCUCUUUCCCUGGCCUGUCUCUGUUCAGAUGUUUAAACCCUCUCUUCUCUUUCCCUGUCUCUGUCUCUGUCCAGAUGUUUAAACCCUCUCUUCUCUUUCCCUGGCCUGUCUCUGUCCAGAUGUUUAAACCCUCUCUUCUCUUUCCCUGGCCUGUCUCUGUUCAGAUGUUUAAACCCUCUCUUCUCUUUCCCUGGCCUGUCUCUGUCUCUGUUCAGAUGUUUAAACCCUCUCUUCUCUUUCCCUGGCCUGUCUCUGUCUCUGUUCAGAUGUUUAAACCCUCUCUUCUCUUUCCCUGGCCUGUCUCUGUCUCUGUUCAGAUGUUUAAACCCUCUCUUCUCUUUCCCUGGCCUGUCUCUGUUCAGAUGUUUAAACCCUCUCUUCUCUUUCCCUGGCCUGUCUCUGUCCAGAUGUUUAAACCCUCUCUUCUCUUUCCCUGGCCUGUCUCUGUCCAGAUGUUUAAACCCUCUCUUCUCUUUCCCUGGCCUGUCUCUGUUCAGAUGUUUAAACCCUCUCUUCUCUUUCCCUGGCCUGUCUCUGUCUCUGUUCAGAUGUUUAAACCCUCUCUUCUCUUUCCCUGGCCUGUCUCUGUCUCUGUUCAGAUGUUUAAACCCUCUCUUCUCUUUCCCUGGCCUGUCUCUGUUCAGAUGUUUAAACCCUCUCUUCUCUUUCCCUGGCCUGUCUCUGUCUCUGUUCAGAUGUUUAAACCCUCUCUUCUCUUUCCCUGGCCUGUCUCUGUUCAGAUGUUUAAACCCUCUCUUCUCUUUCCCUGGCCUGUCUCUGUCUCUGUUCAGAUGUUUAAACCCUCUCUUCUCUUUCCCUGGCCUGUCUCUGUCUCUGUUUAAACCCUCUCUUCUCUUUCCCUGGCCUGUCUCUGUCUCUGUUCAGAUGUUUAAACCCUCUCUUCUCUUUCCCUGGCCUGAGUUAUAGAUCUGUCAUUCUCAUUGAAAGUCUAAGAAGUGUCAGAUCUGUUCUAUUCGUGCUAUUGUGUUUCUGCUUCCCAUUCUUCGGUUUGGUUUUUUGUGUCUUUUACUUUCGGUUUUGUUCACCAGCUGAAAAUACUAUAUUUUUGGGGUUAUUGAAAAUAUAUUCCACUGCAGUUUAGAUGGUACAAUGACUCUCUACACUAGACGUGUUUGUUUUGUCAUAUAAACUGAAAUUAGGGGAACUAUUACAAUUUUAUCAAACCAGGAAAUGGAGGAGUGAUGUCUGUACGUUGCAUAUUUUAAUGAAUGGUUUCAACAGCUGCAUGGAAUUGGUUCUGAUGAGGCGGCAGUUUGGAAUGCAAUGAUGACACAAUGGUUAUGACUAUCACAUUCUGUUCAGAUGUUCUAAUUACCAUGGAGACCAGGGUUACCAUGCUCACUGUCUCUGUCUAUAUGAGGAGCUUGGAGACCAGGUUACCAUGCUCACUGUCUCUGUCUAUAUGAGGAGCUUGGAGACCAGGGUUACCAUGCUCACUGUCUCUGUCUAUAUGAGGAGCUUGGAGACCAGGGUUACCAUGCUCACUGUCUCUGUCUAUAUGAGGAGCUUGGAGACCAGGGUUACCAUGCUCACUGUCUCUGUCUAUAUGAGGAGCUUGGAGACCAGGGUUACCAUGCUCACUGUCUCUGUCUAUAUGAGGAGCUUGGAGACCAGGGUUACCAUGCUCACUGUCUCUGUCUAUAUGAGGAGCUUGGAGACCAGGGUUACCAUGCUCACUGUCUCUGUCUAUAUGAGGAGCUUGGAGACCAGGUUACCAUGCUCACUGUCUCUGUCUAUAUGAGGAGCUUGGAGACCAGGUUACCAUGCUCACUGUCUCUGUCUAUAUGAGGAGCUUGGAGACCAGGUUACCAUGCUCACUGUCUCUGUCUGUAUGAGGAGCUUGGAGACCAGGGUUACCAUGCUCACUGUCUCUGUCUAUAUGAGGAGCUUGGAGACCAGGGUUACCAUGCUCACUGUCUCUGUCUAUAUGAGGAGCUUGGAGACCAGGGUUACCAUGCUCACUGUCUCUGUCUAUAUGAGGAGCUUGGAGACCAGGUUACCAUGCUCACUGUCUCUGUCUAUAUGAGGAGCUUGGAGACCAGGGUUACCAUGCUCACUGUCUCUGUCUAUAUGAGGAGCUUGGAGACCAGGGUUACCAUGCUCACUGUCUCUGUCUAUAUGAGGAGCUUGGAGACCAGGUUACCAUGCUCACUGUCUCUGUCUAUAUGAGGAGCUUGGAGACCAGGUUACCAUGCUCACUGUCUCUGUCUAUAUGAGGAGCUUGGAGACCAGGUUACCAUGCUCACUGUCUCUGUCUAUAUGAGGAGCUUGGAGACCAGGUUACCAUGCUCACUGUCUCUGUCUGUAUGAGGAGCUUGGAGACCAGGUUACCAUGCUCACUGUCUCUGUCUAUAUGAGGAGCUUGGAGACCAGGUUACCAUGCUCACUGUCUCUGUCUGUAUGAGGAGCUUGGAGACCAGGGUUACCAUGCUCACUGUCUCUGUCUAUAUGAGGAGCUUGGAGACCAGGUUACCAUGCUCACUGUCUCUGUCUAUAUGAGGAGCUUGGAGACCAGGUUACCAUGCUCACUGUCUCUGUCUGUAUGAGGAGCUUGGAGACCAGGUUACCAUGCUCACUGUCUCUGUCUAUAUGAGGAGCUUGGAGACCAGGUUACCAUGCUCACUGUCUCUGUCUAUAUGAGGAGCUUGGAGACCAGGGUUACCAUGCUCACUGUCUCUGUCUAUAUGAGGAGCUUGGAGACCAGGUUACCAUGCUCACUGUCUCUGUUUAUAUGAGGAGCUUGGAGACCAGGGUUACCAUGCUCACUGUCUCUGUCUCUCUGUCUAUAUGAUAAUAUAUAUCAUAAUCUCAUCCAUCAGCCAGCUCACUGUCUAUAUGAGGAGCUUGUGUGUCGUAGUGUGUCGGUGGUUGGUUGAUAUGUACUGUAGAGGUUUAAACUAAUGUUAUCUCCCCAGCCCAGAGGACUGUACUGUAGAGGUUUAAACUAAUGUUAUCUCCCCAGCCCAGAGGACUGUACUGUAGAGGUUUAAACUAAUGUUAUCUCCCCAGCCCAGAGGACUGUACUGUAGAGGUUUAAACUAAUGUUAUCUCCCCAGCCCAGAGGACUGUACUGUAGAGGUUUAAACUAAUGUUAUCUCCCCAGCCCAGAGGACUGUACUGUAGAGGUUUAACCUAAUGU
Molecule: long non-coding RNA, 3169 nt
Organism: Oncorhynchus keta (chum salmon)
Lineage: Eukaryota; Metazoa; Chordata; Actinopteri; Salmoniformes; Salmonidae
Exons: 4
Source: RefSeq, a predicted model, not a curated record